CAAUAGCGUAUAUUAAAGUUGUUGCAGUUAAAAAGCUCGUAGUUGGAUUUGUGGCUUGUGCGUGCGGCCCGCAUUCGUGCGGUGUUUGCUAGCACAGCCAUCCUUGGGUGGAAUCUGUGUGGCAUUAGGUUGUCGUGCAGGGGAUGCCCAUCGUUUACUGUGAAAAAAUUAGAGUGUUCAAAGCAGGCUUACGCCGUUGAAUAUAUUAGCAUGGAAUAAUAAGAUAGGACCUUGGUACUAUUUUGUUGGUUUGCGCACUGAGGUAAUGAUUAAUAGGGACAGUUGGGGGUAUUCGUAUUCCAUUGUCAGAGGUGAAAUUCUUGGAUUUUUGGAAGACGAACUACUGCGAAAGCAUUUACCAAGGAUGUUUUCAUUAA
This 377-nucleotide ribosomal RNA is filed under the name uncultured eukaryote. Its description in RNAcentral is "partial 18S ribosomal RNA". It matches the Rfam family "Eukaryotic small subunit ribosomal RNA", at positions 592 to 976 of the family's 1831-position model. The record is from RNAcentral.